Molecule: ribosomal RNA, 442 nt
Filed under: uncultured bacterium
Lineage: Bacteria
Description: partial 16S ribosomal RNA
Rfam family: Bacterial small subunit ribosomal RNA
Source: RNAcentral
CCUACGGGUGGCAGCAGUGGGGGAUAUUGGACAAUGGGGGGAACCCUGAUCCAGCGACGCCGCGUGAGUGAAGAAGUAUCUCGGUAUGUAAAGCUCUAUCAGCAGGGAAGAAGAAAUGACGGUACCUGAGUAAGAAGCCCCGGCUAACUACGUGCCAGCAGCCGCGGUAAUACGUAGGGGGCAAGCGUUAUCCGGAAUUACUGGGUGUAAAGGGAGCGUAGACGGUGAUGUAAGUCUGGAGUGAAAGGCGGGGGCCCAACCCCCGGACUGCUCUGGAAACUAUGUGACUGGAGUGCAGGAGAGGUGAGCAGAAUUCCUAGUGUAGCGGUGAAAUGCGUAGAUAUUAGGAGGAACAUCAGUGGCGAAGGCGACUAUCUGGCACAUAACUGACGCUGAGGAGCGAAAGCGUGGGUAGCAAACAGGAUUAGAUACCCCAGUAGUC